GAAUUAUUGGGCGUAAAGAGCUUGUAGGCGGUUUGUCGCGUCUGCUGUGAAAAUCCGGGGCUCAACCCCGGACUUGCAGUGGGUACGGGCAGACUAGAGUGUGGUAGGGGAGACUGGAAUUCCUGGUGUAGCGGUGAAAUGCGCAGAUAUCAGGAGGAACACCGAUGGCGAAGGCAGGUCUCUGGGCCACUACUGACGCUGAGAAGCGAAAGCAUGGGGAGCGAACAGGAUUAGAUACCCUGGUAGUCCAUGCCGUAAACGUUGGGCGCUAGGUGUGGGACUCAUUCCACGAGUUCCGUGCCGCAGCUAACGCAUUAAGCGCCCCGCCUGGGGAGUACGGCCGCAAGGCUAAAACUCAAAGGAAUUGACGGGGGCCCGCACAAGCGGCGGAGCAUGCGGAUUAAUUCGAUGCAACGCGAAGAACCUUACCAAGGCUUGACAUAUACCGGAAACUUCCAGAGAUGGUUGCCCCUUUUAGGUCGGUAUACAGGUGGUGCAUGGUUGUCGUCAGCUCGUGUCGUGAGAUGUUGGGUUAAGUCCCGCAACGAGCGCGACCCUCGUUCUAUGUUGCCAGCACGUAAUGGUGGGGACUCAUGGAAGACUGCCGGGGUCAACUCGGAGGAAGGUGGGGAUGACGUCAAAUCAUCAUGCCCCUUAUGUCUUGGGCUUCACGCAUGCUACAAUGGCCGGUACAAAGGGCUGCGAUACCGCAAGGUGGAGCGAAUCCCAAAAAACCGGUCUCAGUUCGGAUUGGGGUCUGCAAAUCGACCCCAUGAAGUCGGAGUCGCUAGUAAUCGCAGAUCAGCAAC
This 809-nucleotide ribosomal RNA is filed under the name uncultured bacterium. RNAcentral describes it as "bacterial SSU rRNA". It matches the Rfam family "Bacterial small subunit ribosomal RNA", at positions 548 to 1356 of the family's 1533-position model. The record is from RNAcentral.